RNAcentral lists this ribosomal RNA (114 nucleotides) under Cebus imitator (Panamanian white-faced capuchin). Lineage: Eukaryota; Metazoa; Chordata; Mammalia; Primates; Cebidae. The record is from RNAcentral.
GUCUACGGCCAUACGCCCCCUGAACGCACUUGAUCUCGUCAGAAGCUAAGCAGGGUUGGGCCUGGUUAGUAUUUGGAUGGGAGACCAUUGGGGGAAUACUGGGUUCUGUAGGCU